UACGGAGGAUGCGAGCGUUAUCCGGAUUUAUUGGGUUUAAAGGGUGCGUAGGCGGGCUGUUAAGUCAGCGGUCAAAUGUCGGGGCUCAACCCCGGCCUGCCGUUGAAACUGGCGGCCUCGAGUGGGCGAGAAGUAUGCGGAAUGCGUGGUGUAGCGGUGAAAUGCAUAGAUACCACGCAGAACUCCGAUUGCGAAGGCAGCAUACCGGCGCCCGACUGACGCUGAGGCACGAAAGCGUGGGUAUCGAACAGG
Molecule: ribosomal RNA, 252 nt
Filed under: uncultured bacterium
Lineage: Bacteria
Description: partial 16S ribosomal RNA
Rfam family: Bacterial small subunit ribosomal RNA
Source: RNAcentral